AAGCAACUGAGGCCCAAUCACAAGAACCACAAACAAAGAGCCAAGGUACAAACAGAAUCCUAACAAGAAUCAGAAUUUUCAUGCAUAUUUAUAUGUUCAUUCAUUGAAACCUACACAUAUACAUAUCCACUUAUAAUUAGAUUAUGGAUAUCUAUACAGAAUUACUGUUUUAUUAUAUAACUUCUCGUAAAAUCCAAUCCUGAGCACAGAAGCUCUCACUUGGAUGAGGAAUCAUAGCAAAGAUCAACAACAUACUGAAGCUCCAAAACCAAUGUACCAAGCAUCUGCAUUGUUUUCUUUGCAGAGGUCUUAGUUGUCCACCAACAGCAAAGCUCUUUGGCAUUUCAUCGGGAUUUGAGAAUCAACCAAUCUAGAGGUGGUUAAGGACUCCAAGAGAUACUACACACUUGAAAACUCGAACCCUCCAGGAGCCUAUAUCAUGAAAGCUCAAUCUGUAAAGAAGGAUUGCCCAUAUCAGCUUUCGGCACAGAAAUGCAGGUCUAGAACUGCAAGCCCCACAUUAAAUACCGCCAAACUGCAAACAAAAGAAACACCAAAAUGCUAUUUAUAGCCCAGCUUGGAGGCAAGAAGGGAAGACCCACUCUCCAGGCCUAGGGGAGGUUGUUCCUUGCCUGAAUAGCUCAGAGGAAAGCCGAACGUCAGCAGUAAGAGGGUUCUUGAAGCCCAAAAAUUAGAGAAGGACGAGAGAAAAAUUCUCUCUAGAAAU
This 727-nucleotide unclassified non-coding RNA is filed under the name Hevea brasiliensis (rubber tree). The record is from RNAcentral. Lineage: Eukaryota; Viridiplantae; Streptophyta; Magnoliopsida; Malpighiales; Euphorbiaceae.